UUAAAUUAAACCCAUAUGAAGUGACUCUUUCAUCUCCCACAUUCCCUUUGUUGACCUCUCUAAUGUUAAACAUGAAGCCCUCGUUCUCCUUCCCAUCUUCUCACAUCGGCAACCUUAUGAAAGCUCUUUAUCAAACCACAUCAUCAUCAAAGAAAAGAAACAUAAAGGUUAAUUUCCUUUGCGAUUUUGUUUGAUUCCUCUCAAUUGUGGACUGUGGUAGUCAUGAAUCUAAUUUUGUUUUGGUUUGGGUCUUGUCGAAGCUGAGAGAUGGGUGGUGGUUCAUGGUAGGUGGAUGAUGGAAAGGGCAAUUCUUCAAUAACAAGAACAUGAAUUCUAACUUUCUUUAAGAACGAGUACAUGAAGAAAUGGAAAUUGAAAUCAUUGGUACAUCACCUUUGUCCAGAAUUUUAAUUUUUACAGUCUUCUGUUUUUUCAAUUGAUUUUUUUACAUCUACUCUUCAGUUUUUUCUAUUGGGUUUAUUUUUUUAAUCGGUGGCUCUCAGAUUUGUAAUUGAAUCCUUGAAUAGGUCUAACAUUCCUAAGUUUGAUCUUAUGGGUCUGAAUGGGUUUGAUUCCCGAGUAGUGGAUUUGAUUUUGUGAUUUAUAAGUUUAAUUCAUAUUACCGUUUAGUGGCUUGUU
Molecule: long non-coding RNA, 639 nt
Organism: Lactuca sativa (garden lettuce)
Lineage: Eukaryota; Viridiplantae; Streptophyta; Magnoliopsida; Asterales; Asteraceae
Source: RefSeq, a predicted model, not a curated record